CAUGCUGAAUAUACCGGUUCUCGUUAGAUCACCGAAGUCAAGCAUCAUUGGGCGCGGUCAGUACUUGGGUGGGUGACCACCUGGGAACACCGCGUGCCGUU
Molecule: non-coding RNA, 101 nt
Organism: Caerostris darwini
Lineage: Eukaryota; Metazoa; Arthropoda; Arachnida; Araneae; Araneidae
Source: the annotation of a GenBank genome assembly